RNAcentral lists this ribosomal RNA (323 nucleotides) under uncultured bacterium. RNAcentral describes it as "bacterial SSU rRNA". It matches the Rfam family "Bacterial small subunit ribosomal RNA", at positions 28 to 340 of the family's 1533-position model. The record is from RNAcentral.
AGUGAACGCUGGCGGCAGGCCUAACACAUGCAAGUCGAGCGGCAGCGCGUCCGACCACCCUCGGGUGGUCGGAUGGCGGCGAGCGGCGGACGGGUGAGGAAUGCAUCGGAAUCUGCCUGUUGUGGGGGAUAACGUAGGGAAACUUACGCUAAUACCGCAUACGACCUACGGGUGAAAGUGGGGGACCUUCGGGCCUCACGCGAUGAGAUGAGCCGAUGCCGGAUUAGCUAGUUGGCGGGGUAAAGGCCCACCAAGGCGACGAUCCGUAGCUGGUCUGAGAGGAUGAUCAGCCACACUGGGACUGAGACACGGCCCAGACUCCA